RNAcentral lists this ribosomal RNA (1341 nucleotides) under uncultured bacterium. Its description in RNAcentral is "16S ribosomal RNA". It matches the Rfam family "Bacterial small subunit ribosomal RNA", at positions 28 to 1381 of the family's 1533-position model. The record is from RNAcentral.
GACGAACGCUGGCGGCGUGCUUAACACAUGCAAGUCGAACGGUAAGGCUCCAGCUUGCUGGGGUACACGAGUGGCGAACGGGUGAGUAACACGUGGGUGACCUGCCCUGCACUUCGGGAUAAGCCUGGGAAACUGGGUCUAAUACCGGAUAGGACCGCACCGUGAGGGUGUGGUGGAAAGUUUUUUCGGUGUGGGAUGGGCCCGCGGCCUAUCAGCUUGUUGGUGGGGUAAUGGCCUACCAAGGCGGCGACGGGUAGCCGGCCUGAGAGGGUGGACGGCCACAUUGGGACUGAGACACGGCCCAGACUCCUACGGGAGGCAGCAGUGGGGAAUAUUGCACAAUGGGCGGAAGCCUGAUGCAGCGACGCCGCGUGGGGGAUGACGGCCUUCGGGUUGUAAACUCCUUUCACCAUCGACGAAGGGUUUCUGACGGUAGAUGGAGAAGGAGCACCGGCUAACUACGUGCCAGCAGCCGCGGUAAUACGUAGGGUGCGAGCGUUGUCCGGAAUUACUGGGCGUAAAGAGCUCGUAGGUGGUUUGUCGCGUCGUCUGUGAAAUUCCGGGGCUUAACUCCGGGCGUGCAGGCGAUACGGGCAUAACUUGAGUACUGUAGGGGAGACUGGAAUUCCUGGUGUAGCGGUGAAAUGCGCAGAUAUCAGGAGGAACACCGGUGGCGAAGGCGGGUCUCUGGGCAGUAACUGACGCUGAGGAGCGAAAGCAUGGGGAGCGAACAGGAUUAGAUACCCUGGUAGUCCAUGCCGUAAACGGUGGGCGCUAGGUGUGGGUUUCCUUCCACGGGAUCCGUGCCGUAGCUAACGCAUUAAGCGCCCCGCCUGGGGAGUACGGCCGCAAGGCUAAAACUCAAAGGAAUUGACGGGGGCCCGCACAAGCGGCGGAGCAUGUGGAUUAAUUCGAUGCAACGCGAAGAACCUUACCUGGGCUUGACAUAUACAGGAUCGCGCCAGAGAUGGUGUUUCCCUUGUGGCUUGUAUACAGGUGGUGCAUGGUUGUCGUCAGCUCGUGUCGUGAGAUGUUGGGUUAAGUCCCGCAACGAGCGCAACCCUUGUCUUAUGUUGCCAGCACGUUGUGGUGGGGACUCGUAAGAAACUGCCGGGGUUAACUCGGAGGAAGGUGGGGAUGACGUCAAAUCAUCAUGCCCCUUAUGUCCAGGGCUUCACACAUGCUACAAUGGUCGGUACAGUGGGUUGCCAGUCCGUGAGGGCGAGCUAAUCCCGCAAAGCCGGUCUCAGUUCGGAUCGGGGUCUGCAACUCGACCCCGUGAAGUCGGAGUCGCUAGUAAUCGCAGAUCAGCAACGCUGCGGUGAAUACGUUCCCGGGCCU